UUGGUUAUGUUUCGUUUACAUUAGCAAGCCGAAGCUUGUGUAGUGUAAGUUCUACAAUCAAUACUGUGAUUUUUUACUUCACCGCACAAAUUUGCAUUCGUGGGAUUAUAAAAGGAUGGGUUUGGUAAAUUUGAAGCCAAGAAUACAAGUACUCUUGACUCCAAAAAAAUUGUUUGGUACGCGGGACAAAACAGUGAAGUCACUCCCGUGAGAGAGCUUCUCCAAAGUUUUUUCUUUUGUUGAAAGGGUGUGGUAAUGAUCCUUCCGCAGGUUCACCUACGGAAA
Molecule: unclassified non-coding RNA, 285 nt
Filed under: uncultured fungus
Lineage: Eukaryota; Fungi
Description: sequence contains ITS1
Source: RNAcentral